GUUCAGUGUGUUUCAGGUGCUGAAAGCUUCUAAAUGUUUGUAUAAAACAAGAUCAACGUCAUGCAGAUGUCAGAAGGAUGGUACCUGUCUGUCAUUGGAUUUGUCAUCAGUAUUGACACUCUGAUGAUUCCUGAGUUGCUCCAAGUACAGCGGUAUGUGCUGACCUACAGGUUCAGCCAGGACCACUUGGAGCUCCUAUUUAACUCCAUCAGAGCAGCAGGCGGUUGGAAUAACAAUCCAUCUACAGGCCAGUUCCAUCU
Melanotaenia boesemani (Boeseman's rainbowfish) is the source of this 260-nucleotide long non-coding RNA. RefSeq lists it as uncharacterized. NCBI's taxonomy places the organism in Eukaryota, Metazoa, Chordata, Actinopteri, Atheriniformes, Melanotaeniidae. The transcript is spliced from 3 exons. The record is from RefSeq and is a predicted model, not a curated record.